RNAcentral lists this ribosomal RNA (461 nucleotides) under uncultured bacterium. Its description in RNAcentral is "SSU rRNA". It matches the Rfam family "Bacterial small subunit ribosomal RNA", at positions 26 to 518 of the family's 1533-position model. The record is from RNAcentral.
AGAGCGAACGCUGGCGGCAGGCCUAAUACAUGCAAGUCGAACGGACCCUUCGGGGUUAGUGGCGGACGGGUGAGUAACACGUGGGAACGUGCCCUUUGGUUCGGAACAACUCAGGGAAACUUGAGCUAAUACCGAAUGUGCCCCCAUCCUUAAACAAGAUGGGUGGGAAAGAUUUAUCGCCAUUGGAGCGGCCCGCGUCUGAUUAGCUAGUUGGUGGGGUAAAGGCUCACCAAGGCGACGAUCAGUAGCUGGUCUGAGAGGAUGAUCAGCCACACUGGGACUGAGACACGGCCCAGACUCCUACGGGAGGCAGCAGUAGGGAAUCUUGCGCAAUGGGCAAAGCCUGACGCAGCCAUGCCGCGUGAAUGAUGAAGGUCUUAGGAUUGUAAAAUUCUUUCAGCGGGGACGAUAAUGACGGUACCCGCAGAAGAAGCCCCGGCUAACUUCGCGCCAGCAGCCGC